This 253-nucleotide ribosomal RNA is filed under the name uncultured bacterium. Its description in RNAcentral is "partial 16S ribosomal RNA". It matches the Rfam family "Bacterial small subunit ribosomal RNA", at positions 524 to 776 of the family's 1533-position model. The record is from RNAcentral.
UACAGAGACUGCAAGCGUUAUUCGGAUUCAUUGGGCGUAAAGGGUGCGCAGGCGGCCAAGUGUGUGAGGCGUGAAAGCCUGGGGCUUAACUCCAGAAUUGCACCUCAAACUACAUGGCUAGAGCAUUGGAGAGGGUAGCAGAAUUCACGGUGUAGCAGUGAAAUGCGUAGAUAUCGUGAGGAAUACCAGAGGCGAAGGCGGCUACCUGGACAAUUGCUGACGCUCAGACACGAAAGCGUGGGGAGCAAAAGGG